This is an RNA transcript of Gorilla gorilla gorilla (western lowland gorilla), 1468 nucleotides long. It is a transcript of the gene named mesoderm posterior bHLH transcription factor 1, with no coding region annotated. The record is from RefSeq and is a predicted model, not a curated record. Lineage: Eukaryota; Metazoa; Chordata; Mammalia; Primates; Hominidae. The transcript is spliced from 3 exons.
CCAUGGCCCAGCCCCUGUGCCCGCCGCCCUCCGAGUCCUGGAUGCUCCCCGCGGCCUGGGGCCCAACUCGGCGGCCGCCGCCCUCCGACAAGGACUGCGGCCGCUCCCUCGUCUCGUCGCCAGACUCAUGGGGCAGCGCCCCAGCCGACAGCCCCGUGCCGAGCCCCGCGCGGCCCGGAGCUCGCCGGGACCCCCGCGCCCCCUCCGUAGGUAGGCGCAGCGCGCGCAGCAGCCGCCUGGGCAGCGGGCAGAGGCAGAGCGCCAGCGAGCGGGAGAAACUGCGCAUGCGCACGCUGGCCCGCGCCCUGCACGAGCUGCGCCGCUUUCUACCGCCGUCCGUGGCGCCCGCGGGCCAGAGCCUGACCAAGAUCGAGACGCUGCGUCUGGCUAUCCGCUAUAUCGGCCACCUGUCGGCCGUGCUAGGCCUCAGCGAGGAGAGUCUCCAGCGCUGGUGCCGGCAGCGCGGUGACGCGGGGUCCCCUCGGGGCUGCCCGCUGUGCCCUGACGACUGCCCCGCGCAGAUGCAGACACGGACGCAGGCUGGGGGGCAGGGGCGCGGGCUGGGCCUGGUAUCCGCCGUCCGCGCCGGGGCGUCCUGGGGAUCCCCGCCUGCCUGCCCCGGAGCCCGAGCUGCACCCGAGCCGCGCGACCCGCCUGCGCUGUUCGCCGAGGCGGCGUGCCCGGAAGGGCAGGCGAUGGAGCCAAGCCCACCGUCCCCGCUCCUUCCGGGCGACGUACUGGCUCUGUUGGAGACCUGGAUGCCCCUCUCGCCUCUGGAGUGGCUGCCUGAGGAGCCCAAGUGACAAGGGACAACUGACGCCGUCUCUGUGAGCACCGAGGCUUUUUGGCCUCAGCACCUUCGAAGUGGUUCCUUGGCAGACUGCCUUUCCUGGAAGAGGGCACGGGCGAUCCCGACGGGGGCAUUCCUGCGGGCAGAAGCUGACGCACAGGGAACUCGAGGAACUUUCCAUAAGGCUAGUGUGGAGCCCCUGGGGACGGGCCAACUGUGGGCUGGUGGUUGGUGAAGCCUGUCUUUGCAAGAGCCCUGGCAGCAAGGUAGGGGUGUGUGUGUGUGUGUGUGUAUGUGGCAGUUGGGCUGUGUGUGUGGCGGCGGGGCUGUGUGUGUGUGUGUGUGUGCAUGCACAUGUGUGUGUGGUGGGGCUGUGUGUGUCUGUGCGUGAGCGUGUGUGUGUGUGGCGGCAGCGCUGUGUGUGUGUGUGUGUGUGGCGGCGGGGCUCUGUGUGUGCACGUGUGUGUAGCAGCGGGGCUGUGUGUGUGUGUGUGUGUGUGUGUGGAGGCGGGGCUGUGUGUGUGGCGGGGGCAGCGGGGCUCUGUGUGUGUGUGUGUGUGGCCGUGGGGCUGUGUGUGUGUGUGUGUGUGUGUGUGUGGCAGCAGGGCUGUGUGUGUAGAGGCAGGGCUGUGUGUAUGGAGGCGGGGCUGUGUGUCUGUGGAGGUGGGGCUGUGUGUG